CCCUAUUUUUUUCAUCAUUUUCACCCUAAUUUCUUCAAGCAUUGUAAUUAUAGUCUUAUGCCUUGCUGCUAAUAUCCAUGAAUUGAAACAUUCAGCCAUGUUAUUGUCUACAACAUCACAUUUUGAGGUAAAAUUGAAGUAAAGCUUGCUCCAUCUUUCAGGAUUAUAAUACAACAAAUGAUCAACUAUAUUAUUACCCAACCUUUUCAUAUAACUAAUGUUAUCCUUUAACUCAGCCUCAAAAGUAGACCUUGCACACCUCCAGAAACAUUUCUUUCUCUCAAGACCUCUCCAUCUCUUUGACCAGUUAGCAAGGAUGUGUCUAGCACACAUUCUAUGCUCAACAUUUGGCAAAUGAUCAGUUAUGGCAAUUUCAAGACCCUAUAAGAAAAUUCAAGACAUAA
Molecule: long non-coding RNA, 404 nt
Filed under: Solanum tuberosum (potato)
Lineage: Eukaryota; Viridiplantae; Streptophyta; Magnoliopsida; Solanales; Solanaceae
Description: long non-coding RNA (STUB_LNC007377)
Source: RNAcentral